This 147-nucleotide non-coding RNA is filed under the name Nomascus leucogenys (northern white-cheeked gibbon). Lineage: Eukaryota; Metazoa; Chordata; Mammalia; Primates; Hylobatidae. The record is from Rfam by way of RNAcentral.
GUUGGGCGUGGUGCCGCACGUCUGUAAUCCCAGCUACUGGGAGGCUGAGGCAGGAGAAUCACUUGAACUUGGGAGGCAGAGGUUGCAGUGAGCCAAGAUGGCGCCACUGCACUCCAGCCUGGGUGACAGAGAGAGAUUCAGUCUUAA